UUGAGAGCCAAGCUUCAGCACAAAGGAAAGAUCAGUUUUUCUGCACGGACAUCACAGACUUGGCAGCUGCAUCCACUAUUACUAUAUGACCAUCUUUCUAGAUCAGAAUUUCUACUAUCUAUCUACAGAAAAAAAGAUGCUAUAAUGGACAGAUUUUAUGGAAGAUAAGAUGGCUAAUUUGGAACACUGUCAUCUGAAUCAUAUCCAACCUUUAAAUAGCUUCCUGCUAAUGCUUUGGUUUUUGAUCAUCUCUAAUGGACGAACAAGAGACGGAUGAGACAGGGGAGAUACAAAGGAUGUUUGUGCAUCAUGGGGACACCACGAAAACUGCUAUAAUGCUUAACAGGAAAGGAAUGGGGCAGGCAGCAGCCUUCUCAUGGGCUGUACCACCAAAAAUGCGCAAGUUCCAGGGCAGAUAGAAAAGUCUACAUAGCCCUAUUUAAAGGAGAAGAAGUUCAUUAUCACAGCAGGGGCUGAGAUCUCUCUCGUCAUGUGAACAAGCAUAUAAAACCACUGGGACAUACUGGUAAGGUUAUUUGCAUGUCAAGACCACCAGGGACAAAACGUGGCUUCUGAUCCCUUCCUUCCAAGUAAUCCAGAAAGGCAGUAGGUGUGCAUCCAAUAUAUUAAAUGUUUAUUCUAUAUUUUUCUGACCCAGAUUUUAAAUCUAACUAAAAGCAAUUGUAAUAAAAAUAUUAAAUAUCCUAUAAAUAUUAUUUUAGCAUACCUGAAAUAUUUUAUAAUUGUAACAACAUAUACCUUACAACAUUUUAGUAGCAGGAAAUUGAUUCUAAAUACUUGAAUAUAGUUUAAGGCAUGUGACUGCAUUCUGUAAGGCUGCCCACUGCCCAUGGUGACGAAAUAGACAGGAAAAUACACAGCUAAUAACAAACAGCUACAAAAGAAACUAUAAUGUUUUUUUCCAAAAAGGGCCGCCCUUUACCUUUAAACCUUAAAAAUAACUACUUAUUAUGGAAAGAAAUAUGAUAUAUAUAUAUAAAGUUCCAAGCUUGAAUCCACCCUCCUAGAACAACCACCUAGGUAUCACUCGAUACAAAUAGAUCACAAUAAACAGUGAUUUAUCCCCGAAACGUCAAUAAAUUUGACCCACUUCUGAAA
This is a long non-coding RNA of Bombina bombina (fire-bellied toad), 1119 nucleotides long. RefSeq lists it as uncharacterized. The record is from RefSeq and is a predicted model, not a curated record. NCBI's taxonomy places the organism in Eukaryota, Metazoa, Chordata, Amphibia, Anura, Bombinatoridae. The transcript has 6 exons.